This 451-nucleotide ribosomal RNA is filed under the name uncultured bacterium. RNAcentral describes it as "partial 16S ribosomal RNA". It matches the Rfam family "Bacterial small subunit ribosomal RNA", at positions 354 to 796 of the family's 1533-position model. The record is from RNAcentral.
GUGGGGAAUAUUGGACAAUGGGGGGAACCCUGAUCCAGCCAUGCCGCGUGUGUGAAGAAGGCCUUUUGGUUGUAAAGCACUUUAAGCGAGGAGGAGGCUACCGAGAUUAAUACUCUUGGAUAGUGGACGUUACUCGCAGAAUAAGCACCGGCUAACUCUGUGCCAGCAGCCGCGGUAAUACAGAGGGUGCAAGCGUUAAUCGGAUUUACUGGGCGUAAAGCGCGCGUAGGUGGCCAAUUAAGUCAAAUGUGAAAUCCCCGGGCUUAACUUGGGAAUUGGAUUCGAUACUGGUUGGCUAGAGUAUGGGAGAGGAUGGUAGAAUUCCAGGUGUAGCGGUGAAAUGCGUAGAGAUCUGGAGGAAUACCGAUGGCGAAGGCAGCCAUCUGGCCUAAUACUGACACUGAGGUGCGAAAGCAUGGGGAGCAAACAGGAUUAGAAACCCUUGUAGUCC